GGAGCUAAUCCCUUAAAGCUACUCUCAGUUCGGAUUGUAGGCUGAAACUCGCUACAUGAAGCUGGAGUUACUAGUAAUCGCAGAUCAGAAUGCUGCGGUGAAUGCGUUCCCGGGUCUUGUACACACCGCCCGUCACACCACGGGAGUUGGAGACGCCCGAAGCCGAUUAUCUAACCUUUUGGAAGAAGUCGUCGAAGGUGGAAUCAAUAACUGGGGUGAAGUCGUAACAAGG
This 232-nucleotide ribosomal RNA is filed under the name Clostridioides difficile. RNAcentral's name for it is "partial 16S ribosomal RNA". It matches the Rfam family "Bacterial small subunit ribosomal RNA", at positions 1264 to 1496 of the family's 1533-position model. The record is from RNAcentral. Lineage: Bacteria; Bacillati; Bacillota; Clostridia; Peptostreptococcales; Peptostreptococcaceae.